RNAcentral lists this long non-coding RNA (1379 nucleotides) under Homo sapiens (human). Its description in RNAcentral is "HSALNT0333973". Lineage: Eukaryota; Metazoa; Chordata; Mammalia; Primates; Hominidae. The record is from RNAcentral.
AGCGAAUACAGCGGUGGAUGCUGGUGUUGUAGUAGUGCCCUGGGGAGCACUGGACUGUAGGCAAGGGAGAAGGGCAGGAAUCAAGAUGGUAGGCAGGUGGGAGUUACGGGGCAUGGGAUGGACAGGAUACAUUCAUCCUGGAGAAUCAGGAGAUCAGAUACAUCAAAGUUCUUUUCUAGGGUCUCAAUCUUUCCCAGUCAUGCCAGAAUUUAAGCCCACGGAAAAACAGAGUUUACAGAGUGGUUGGCUACAGUGCCAAUCCUUUUCUUUCAGACGCUGAGCACAGUGCCAAACCUAUAUAGAAACUCAUUUGGGAUAUGGAGGAGAAUAUGCCACCAGUUCUCCAAAGUGGAGGGCGGAUGCAGACAUGGUGCAUGCAUCCAGGGAUUGCCCAUAGCCACAAGCCAACACAAGGACCUGUUCAAUUGGAGGGUGAAGAGUUCUUCCCAGCAGGAAACCUCUCAACUCUGGCUGGCUGACCUGCUGCCCUAGCCUCCCCCCUCCUCUCGCAGCUGUUGGGCCAAAAGACACAAAGAACGAGCCCAGUCCUCCUCGUCCCCACUCCUUGUGACCAGGGGAUAUGGACCUAAUGAAUCAUCAUUUUCAGUAUGGCUACCCUGCCUUUUUCCUCCACCCUUUCCCCCCAUUCUCCCUCAGACCUGGCUAAUUAAAAGGAAGGGAAACAGAAUGCAUAAUGUGGGUAACUAUACUGUAAUAACAGUUAACACAAAGUGUUUCCAUUUGCCAAGCACUGUUCUAAGUACUUUUUAUGUAAUCACUCUUUUAAUCACAACACAGUAUGAGGCGAGCACUAUGGAAAACUGAGGCACAGAGACAUUAAGUGACUUGUCCAGGAUCACAGAGCUAGUAGGAGACAGGGCUGGGAUCUGAACCCAGCUUCAGUCCUCCUAACUAGUAUCCUACUCUCCCUUUGACCAGUACAGCCUUUCGAGGGGUAGACAUCAUUUCCCCAGAGCCCACUGGGAAGGUCUGAGGAAUGUGGGGUAAGAAGGUUAUGGAACACACCUGUGACCUCAUGCACACACACAGUCAGGGCUCAAAUAUCCUUCCAGACCCAGGAGCAAAUGUGAAUCGCAUGUCCAUUAACUAAGAGGGUUAGGGACCCAUGGGGGAUAGGAAUGAGAGUAGGGAAACAAGGUGGGGUAGGGGAAGGGGGCACUAAGGAACUGGCUGGACUUCUCUGUCCCUUGAACUGAGAUGAAACAGGCAGAUAGGAGACAACCCUUAGCUAUGUCCUGGGUUCUUCAUAAGAAGGAGGUUGAGGAGGUGUCAUCCCCUAAUAGGCACCCUAUCUCUGGUCCCAACCUCAGCCCCUUACCAAAGGUCACUCUGCUUCUGUCCUCUCAAAGUCCUUACCU